RNAcentral lists this ribosomal RNA (441 nucleotides) under uncultured bacterium. Its description in RNAcentral is "partial 16S ribosomal RNA". It matches the Rfam family "Bacterial small subunit ribosomal RNA", at positions 338 to 795 of the family's 1533-position model. The record is from RNAcentral.
CCUACGGGAGGCAGCAGUGGGGGAUAUUGCACAAUGGGGGAAACCCUGAUGCAGCGACGCCGCGUGGGUGAAGAAGUAUUUCGGUAUGUAAAGCCCUAUCAGCAGGGAAGAAAGAAGACGGUACCUGACUAAGAAGCCCCGGCUAACUACGUGCCAGCAGCCGCGGUAAUACGUAGGGGGCGAGCGUUAUCCGGAUUCACUGGGUGUAAAGGGAGCGUAGACGGCCGUGCAAGCCAGGAGUGAAAGCCCGGGGCCCAACCCCGGGACUGCUCUUGGAACUGUGCGGCUGGAGUGCGGGAGGGGCAGGCGGAAUGCCUGGUGUAGCGGUGAGAUGCGUAGAUAUCAGGAGGAACACCGGCGGCGAGGGCGGCCUGCUGGACCGCGACUGACGUUGAGGCUCGAAAGCGUGGGGAGCGAACAGGAUUAGAUACCCUUGUAGUC